UGUUGAAACUAGAGGUUACCUGUUAGAACUGCUGCUGUUGAAACUAGAGGUUACCUGUUGAAACUAGAGGUUACCUGUUGAAACUAGAGGUUACCUGUUGAAACUAGAGGUUACCUGUUGAAACUAGAGGUUACCUGUUAGAACUGCUGCUGUUGAAACUAGAGGUUACCUGUUGAAACUAGAGGUUACCUGUUGAAACUAGAGGUUACCUGUUGAAACUAGAGGUUACCUGUUAGAACUGAUGCUGUUGAAACUAGAGGUUACCUGUUGAAACUAGAGGUUACCUGUUGAAACUAGAGGUUACCUGUUAGAACUGAUGCUGUUGAAACUAGAGGUUACCUG
Long non-coding RNA from Salvelinus fontinalis (brook trout), 342 nucleotides. RefSeq lists it as uncharacterized. NCBI's taxonomy places the organism in Eukaryota, Metazoa, Chordata, Actinopteri, Salmoniformes, Salmonidae. The transcript is spliced from 5 exons. The record is from RefSeq and is a predicted model, not a curated record.